AUUCCUUGAUAUGGGCACUUCCUUUGCAACUCUUUGAAACAUUCCCAUGCCUCAUAUAAGGACUCCCCAUCCAACUAAUGAAUGUUAUUAAUCUCUCCUCUAUAUC
Humulus lupulus (European hop) is the source of this 106-nucleotide small nucleolar RNA. The record is from RefSeq and is a predicted model, not a curated record. NCBI's taxonomy places the organism in Eukaryota, Viridiplantae, Streptophyta, Magnoliopsida, Rosales, Cannabaceae.